Camelus ferus (Wild Bactrian camel) is the source of this 72-nucleotide transfer RNA. It matches the Rfam family "tRNA". From Rfam's summary of the family: Transfer RNA (tRNA) molecules are approximately 80 nucleotides in length. Their secondary structure includes four short double-helical elements and three loops (D, anti-codon, and T loops). NCBI's taxonomy places the organism in Eukaryota, Metazoa, Chordata, Mammalia, Artiodactyla, Camelidae. The record is from Rfam.
GAGGGUAUAGCUCAGUGGUAGAGCACGUGCUUAGCAUGCAUGAGGUCCUGAGCUCAAUCCCCAGCACCUUCA